This 232-nucleotide ribosomal RNA is filed under the name uncultured bacterium. RNAcentral describes it as "partial 16S ribosomal RNA". It matches the Rfam family "Bacterial small subunit ribosomal RNA", at positions 103 to 334 of the family's 1533-position model. The record is from RNAcentral.
CGGGUGAGUAACGCGUGAGGAACCUGCCUCAAAGAGGGGACAACAGUUGGAAACGGCUGCUAAUACCGCAUAAGCCCACGGCUCGGCAUCGAGCAGAGGGAAAAGGAGCAAUCCGCUUUGAGAUGGCCUCGCGUCCGAUUAGCUAGUUGGUGAGGUAAUGGCCCACCAAGGCGACGAUCGGUAGCCGGACUGAGAGGUUGAACGGCCACAUUGGGACUGAGACACGGCCCAG